UUUUAACUUUUGUUUUUACAUUUUUAAUCUUUUAUAGUUUAUUUUUUUUUUCUCUCUGUGAUGAUUUGUUUUUAUUAGGUUUUUACCUUUUGUAUAAGGUUUUCUAGAAAUACUUUUGUUUAAUCUUUUUAGAAACGGGGAGAUUUUUAAAAUUGUUUUUAUUUUAAUAUUAAGUAAAACUUUUUUAAUGUGGUGAUACGUGUGCGUUCCUCUUGGUAUCUAGUUUGUUCUAAUUUUUUGGGGGUAACCCCCAUACCUUUGGCUUUUAUUUUUUGGUUACUUUUGUUUUAAUAGUAAACUUUUGUGUAAUAACUUUUUUUUAUUUUUAGCUUACUUUAUAAUUUAUUGGUAAAUUUUACUUUAAUUAGUGUAUUAGUAGGUUUUCUUUAUUUUUAUUACUUUGUUUUUAUUUGUUUUUUAAAAAUUAUGUAUUUUACUUUUUACUUUUAAACUUGUUUAUUAAAAUCUUAGCUGGAUUAUUUCUAGUUACUUCUGCCCUAUGCUUUUUGUAAAUGGCUGUGGUUUCCACACUAAGGUAGCGAGAUCAUUAGUUAUUUGAUUGGUAACUUGUAUGAAAGGAGCUUUUUAAAAGUUAUUAUAAUUUUUUCUGAAAUUAUAUUUUUGUUGAAAAUAACAAUUUCCACCCUAAGACAAAAAGACCCUAGAAUUUUUAUAAUUUAAAUUAUUUGGUUGGGGAAAUAUUUAAUUUUAUAAAUAUUAAAAAAUUUAUUUAUUUAUGAACUUUUUUAAAGAAAGUUAGCUAAAAUACUCUAGGGAUAACAGCUUAAUGGUUUUUGUUAGUUCUUAUUACUAAAACUGUUUGGGACCUCGAUGUUGGAUUAGGUUUACUUUGGGGUGUAGAAGCUUUUUAAAGUUAGACUGUUCGUCUAUUGAAUACCUACAUGAUCUGAGUUAAAGUCGGUGUGAGCCAGACUGGAUUUUAUCUAGGGCUAUAUUUAUUUAUACUUCAGUACGAAAGGACCUUUUAUUAGGUAGCUUACCUUUAUUCUUUCUCUCUAAGGCGC
Molecule: ribosomal RNA, 1025 nt
Filed under: Tyrophagus putrescentiae
Lineage: Eukaryota; Metazoa; Arthropoda; Arachnida; Sarcoptiformes; Acaridae
Description: 16S ribosomal RNA
Rfam family: Archaeal large subunit ribosomal RNA (bases 644-950)
Source: RNAcentral